RNAcentral lists this transfer RNA (72 nucleotides) under Clonorchis sinensis. It matches the Rfam family "tRNA". From Rfam's summary of the family: Transfer RNA (tRNA) molecules are approximately 80 nucleotides in length. Lineage: Eukaryota; Metazoa; Platyhelminthes; Trematoda; Opisthorchiida; Opisthorchiidae. The record is from Rfam by way of RNAcentral.
GUCGCCGUGGCGUAGUGGUCAGCGCGCUGACCGACUAAGUGGUGCGCCGUGGUUCGAAUCCCGGCGGCGACA